Molecule: unclassified non-coding RNA, 141 nt
Filed under: uncultured Ascomycota
Lineage: Eukaryota; Fungi; Ascomycota
Description: sequence contains ITS1
Source: RNAcentral
UCGUGGGGCUCCGGCCCCGUCGAGAUAGAGCCCUUGCCUUUUUAUAGCACCGUCCGUUUCCUCGGCAGGCCCGCCUGCCAACGGGGACAACCACAAACCCUUUGCUGUACCUGCGUCGUCUGAACAAAAACAAAACAAUCA